Molecule: non-coding RNA, 132 nt
Submitted as: unclassified sequences
Source: Rfam
GCUUGGCACUUACCUUGUGGCGGUGUCAGCCGAUCACUAUUUAGGGUGGUCAGCUUGGUUAUCCUGCUUCGGCGAACACACAUCUGGGUUUGGUAGAACGUUGAGUAGCCUAGUGCAAAAAACGGAGCCAGC